GCUGGGUGUGGUGGCGCAUGCCUGUAGUCCCAGCUACUUGGGAGGCUGAGGCAGGAGGACUUGCUUGAGCCCAGGAGUUCAAGACUGCAAUGAGCUAUGAUUGUGCCACUGCACUCCAGCCUGGGAAACAGAAUGAGACCCUGUCUCAA
This 149-nucleotide non-coding RNA is filed under the name Chlorocebus sabaeus (green monkey). The record is from Rfam by way of RNAcentral. Lineage: Eukaryota; Metazoa; Chordata; Mammalia; Primates; Cercopithecidae.